CUGUGAUCUACCGUUAGAGCAGUAGAAGAAGAAAUCAGCUAAUAGUUGGCCUUGUUUUGCAUGACAUUCCAUUCGCCUGAAUUUACACACAUUUGCACUGAACGAGAUGGCGGAGCACAAACAGUUACGGAAGAAAAGGGGGGACAAACGAGAAAACAGAAGAAAAAACAACACGAACCAAGACAUCGAAAGUAUGGGAGCACUUCACCCUAGAUGCAGUACAAAGACAAGUGACCUGCAAGAUAUGCAAAAACAGUCUGGCAUGGCACGGAAGCACGACUUCUCUACAUGAAAAUCUGAGACAAAAGCAUGUUGGAGUUGAAGCAGGAGAGAAAGAGCCAGCACGAAAAAAACAAGCAACAAUGAAUGAAUACAUGUGGAACAAGACCCUGACCCCCCAGCAAUGUAUACCACUUACAAACUCUUUUCUAAACAUGCUAGUAAAUUACAUGAGACCACUAUACAUGGUGGAAGGAGCAGGCUUCCAACUCAUGUUAAAACAAUUUAACCCAGGUUACACCAUCCCAUCUAGAACACAUUUUGCUAAGUUGUUAGAAAAGAAAUACCAAGCCACAUUGGAUGAGGUAAAAGCUACUCUCUAAGCCAUAUAUGGCAAAAUUGCCCUUACAGCAGAUAUCUGGACAAGUGUAGCCACUGAGGCAUACCUGGGCAUCACAUGCCACUAUUUUGGAGGUGAGUGGCAAAUGGAAUCGAUCUGCGUUUCUACACUGCCGCUGGAGGACAGACAUAUGGCACAAAACAUUGUAUUGUGGAUACAAGAAACACUAGAAAAAUCUGAAAUUGAUCCACACAAAGUCUCUGCAAUUGUACAUGAUAAUGGCUCAAAAAAUUGUGGCUGCUGGGAAAAUACUGGAGGAGCGAUAUGGCUGGGCCUCCAUUAGAUGCACGUUGCAGCUAGUUCUCAUCCCAGCUCUUAAGCAUCAAGUCAUUGCCAAAGCAGUUGGCGCUGCAAAAUGCCUAAUAGAACAUUUUAAAAAAAGUGAACUUGCAUCCACCAAACUGAAACAUAAACAAGAACAAAUGGGCACCCCUGAACACACACUUAUCCAAGACGUAAGUACUAGAUGGAACAGCACAUAUCACAAGAUCAGUCAUCUGCUGGAACAACGGUGGUCUGUUAUGCUGUCGGAUUCACAUGUGACAAAAACCUCCAAACAGUACUACCAGACCAAUGGAGUUUGUUAGAGGAGCUUUCGACAGCCCUGAAACCUUUUGUUGUUGCCACUGAAUACAUGAGCGGUGAGAAAUACAUCACAAUUUCCUCAUUGCCACCUUUAAUAAAAGGGUUAGUUAAGUCAGUUCAAAGUAUGGCUUUUGAAACAGGUGGUGCACAAGCCUUCCAACACACGGCUAAAGAGCAACUCGAACAGUGGAGGGAUGCAAUCACUUUCUCUGACACCUCACACAACACCAUCAUAAUUAGUUCUUCCCUAGAUCCACGCUUCAGAAAACUAAAGUUGUUGUCUACUGAGGACAGCUUUAAAGUGCAAGUAAAGAGUAAAGAGUAAAGGUGAGGAUGAAAGCAGUUGAAGCAGUAGAGUAGAGCCCCCCGUUACCCAGCAUGACACAACUGACUGUCUUCCUGCUUGUUGGGAGAAACCUGCCGCCUCGUUACUUGACUAUCUUAUAGACUAUGACACCAGCAGUAAAGAGGAGGGCAGCGAUACCGAGGAACCUGCUGUGAAAAUAAGGAAGGAAAUACUUACUUACUUUGGAGAGAAGCCCAUCCCCAAAUAAGAAAAUCCUCUACAGUGGUGGAAGACAAAUGAGCUUAGAUUUCCCUCUUUGUCAAAGUUAGCUAAAUCAUAUCUCUGUAUCCCAAGCACUUCAACUCCACCUGAGCACCUGUUUUCGGAAGCAGGCAACAUAUGCUCUAAAAAAGGGCAAGCCUAAGGCCUGAGCAUGUUGACAUGUUGACAUUUUUGCACUGCAAUGCAAAAUUCUUAAAUAAGUGUUACCUUGCAGUAUGUUUUCAACAGGCAGAUUGUAUUUCUAUGCCAGUUCAUGCAUGGCCUGUUCUAUUGCACAUUUAUUGUUUUAAUGAUGUUGAUGUUGAUAUUUGCACUACUAUAUGUAAAGAGUGGAAAGUGGGAGUGUGUUUGUUAGAGCUCCUCUAACAAACUCCAUCGGUCUGGUUUCAAAUUUCACUUUCAGUGUGCACUUCACUUUUGAGACAAGGUAGAGACAGCAGUUUAUAUUAUUUUUGUAAAAAUACUGCCCAACUAAGAACAUUCAGAAUAAAAUGUGAUUUUCAUUUCAUGGCCAUUUAUUUAAAUUUAUAUGUACAGCAUAAUAAGGGGUGAGAUAAUUUUGUUAUUUGCUGUACACUCAUUUGUAUGGUAUUCUAUCCCAUUUUUGUAUUUUAUGCCUAAAAAUGAACAUAUUUUACACUGUUGAGCUCAUUUGUUUCUUCCUAAACUGAGUUAAAUAAAUUGCAGUGAACUGCA
Long non-coding RNA from Girardinichthys multiradiatus, 2468 nucleotides. RefSeq lists it as uncharacterized. Lineage: Eukaryota; Metazoa; Chordata; Actinopteri; Cyprinodontiformes; Goodeidae. The transcript is spliced from 2 exons. The record is from RefSeq and is a predicted model, not a curated record.